UAGCUUUGUCCUAAGUCAAACUUGUCUAACUUUGACUAAGUUUAUAGGAAAAAUAUAAUAACAUCCACAAUAUCAAAUAAAUGCACUAUCAAGACAUAUUUCAUGGUCGAUUCAAUGAAACUAAUUUGAUGUUGUAGAUGUUGAUGCUUUUUUCUAUAAACUUUGUCAAAGUUAGAAAAGUUUGGCUUAGGACAAAGCUAA
Dichanthelium oligosanthes is the source of this 201-nucleotide microRNA precursor. It matches the Rfam family "MIR1435 microRNA precursor family". Lineage: Eukaryota; Viridiplantae; Streptophyta; Magnoliopsida; Poales; Poaceae. The record is from Rfam.